This 2128-nucleotide long non-coding RNA is filed under the name Equus caballus (horse). RNAcentral describes it as "lncRNA (ENSECAG00000055622.1)". The record is from RNAcentral. Lineage: Eukaryota; Metazoa; Chordata; Mammalia; Perissodactyla; Equidae.
GUAUUGUAACUAAUGAGGGAGUCAAGCGUUUUCUUAAACAUUAGGUAUCCAUUAUUACUUACAAACAUUCUUGAAUCUGGUAGAAAAUGGUACAGGAUUUGGAAAGUAAAGAGGGGUGUGUGUUUAGUCUGUGGAAGCUUAAUAUGUGAAUAGUGAGCAGCUCUGUGCUAGAACUCUCACCCUCAUGUGUCCCACGCUAGGCGGAGGGGAGGCUGCCCACUCUGGCGCCCCUCCUCGAGCAAGUUCAGAGUCGGCCUUCAGGCUGUACCACCACCUUUACCUCCCCAGUUCCUCUGAGGCCAGCAAAUGCCCUGAAACCCACCCCCCGAUCCCAUUCCCUGACCACAGCCCUGACUUCCACACGAGUGGGCGAGCUGGACUCCAGCAUGGAGGAUGCACGGGCAAGCAGCGUUUUGUGUUAUUUUUAUUUUAUUGCUUUUGUUUUCUUAGUUCCCUCAGUUUAUACUCCACCACUGGCCCAUCUCCCACCCCCACCCUCACCCCCUAGAUUGGGCUCCACACUUCAUUCCAGUCUGCUUCACACACAGAUGCCAGGUAGCUGGUAGAUGCUUUCUUGUUUGCUAGAAUGCCUCUAUGCAAGCUCUCAGAUGUCUGGGGUUUUUUUCCCAUUAAAUGUCCUAUUUAUGCCCCAAACUGAAAUCAUGGAUCUGAGCCAAGCUCGUGCCCUUUGAUGCUGCAGGCUGCCCUCCUGUGUGCUGCCUGGAGAAGGGCAGAAUCCCUGGGACCUUGAGCGCCACUCAGGUGGACUCAUACUUUGCUUUAGCUAAAAAAGAAAAAAAAAAAAAAUUCCUGCAGAGAAAACUAGUGGAAGAAUCUCUUGUGCCAUUGUUCUAGCUCAGGCAGGGGAACUGCCAGCACUGGAACUGCUAAAUAGAGCUAUUUAGUCUUUUUCUGAUAAUAUGAAGUAAAAUAUAUUACAUCUUAUAGAAUUCAGAGAACUAGAAGUCAGAAAUUACCACAUCGGCUAAUUUUUCCUUGUCAUAGAAUGUGGAAUAAAAUUAUAAAUCGCACCCUCGCACAUUGUAGUGUCUGCAUUACAACGCCCUACGAGAUGUGGGCCAGGCCCUGCCCUUACAUCUCUGACACUCCCCAGCCCUUCUCUCUGCUCUGCCCAUACUGGACAGAUAAGGCUUUUCAAGUAAUCUGCCCCUGACCAGCCUGUUUCAAAUUGCAACACCUCUACUCCCAAAUGUUCACUAUUCCUACUUGCUUUUUUUCCAGGGCAUUUAUCUCCCCGGCUAACAUGUCACAUAUUUGUGUGUUUCUCUUAUGUAUUUCGCUUCCCUAUGAAGGCAGGAAUCAGCCUGCCUUGUUUGCUGCUGUAUCCCCAGCACAUCAAAGAGUGUGUGGCACCCAGUAGGGGCUGAAUAAAUAUUUGAAUAAACAGCCCCAUUUUAUUUCCUUCUCUCAUGUAAGAUUCUAUCUUGAAAGUGACUUGAAACUCACAAGAGUUUCCCAUAACCAGCGGCUGCAUAAAUUGCUGGCUGGGUUUUCCCAGUGGGGAGAGGACUGGUUUCUGGAGUUACCUUUUGUUCUUGCUCUGGAUAGGUUUUCAUUCCGAGAAUUGAGAAGAUGAAUACGACUAUAAACCCAAUUACUUUGUUUUCCAGGAUAAUUGGAAUAUGUUCUCCAGAGAUGGUGACAUCCUUCAGGGAAUAAACUGCUGUCUAGGAUAUAAACUCUAUGAGGACAGGGGUUGUUGACUUGUUCGCUGCUGUAUGCCCAGCACACCUAGAAUUGUGCCUCACACACAGAAAGUGUGCCAUAAGUAUUUUUGACUGCAUACCUUGUAAAUAUGUUCAACUCUUCUAUAUCUUUAUUAAUCUUUUUGAUGUGCCUGACCUAUCAAUAAUUGCACAAGGUACAUUAAAACCUCCCACUGUCAGUAAUUUUGUCAACUUCUCCCUGUGGUUCUAUUUUCGUUUUUAUAUUUUGAGGAUAUUUUAUUGGGUACAUACAAGUUUGGAAUUGUUGUAACUUCCUGGUGGAAUUAAAAGCUUUUUAAGUAUAAUGGAAGAUUAAUUGCAAAAAUCACCCGAAUUUUCCCUCCCUCCCUGUAUGUACACCUUUUGCAUUGUGACUUCGCAGCUCCUCCCAGAAACUGGGC